GGCAUGGAGGAGUGCUGGCGUGUCCACGCUGCAAACAAGAGCGUGAGCUCCAGUAGCCAAGUGUAGCUGGGCUCACCGCCGCAUUGCCUGCAGAGGGAUUUGAGGUUCGGAUGCUGGCGGAGAACAAGUUCAGCAACUCGCAGAUAAGGAGCCAGCUGAGGCGACUUCGGAGGGAGUCCCGAAUCCACGACUACGGCAUCCUGGACAUUUAGGGUGGAAGAGACGAGGUCGAAAAUGUGUCCACGACAAUAUCGCCAGGACUACUCAGCUCUGCGACACGUCAUGGCGGAACCAACUCGGCUGCACCAACUCGGCACCGGAGACAUGGGCGGCUGAAAAAUCAUGGUGGCGAUACCUUGUUACGUUUUGCCCAAGAACAACAUGUUAAGCCAGUUUUCCUGUACCUGGGUGUUCUUGUCAAAGAAAAAUA
Dermacentor albipictus is the source of this 430-nucleotide long non-coding RNA. RefSeq lists it as uncharacterized. Lineage: Eukaryota; Metazoa; Arthropoda; Arachnida; Ixodida; Ixodidae. The record is from RefSeq and is a predicted model, not a curated record.